RNAcentral lists this ribosomal RNA (465 nucleotides) under Vreelandella stevensii. RNAcentral's name for it is "partial 16S ribosomal RNA". It matches the Rfam family "Bacterial small subunit ribosomal RNA", at positions 338 to 795 of the family's 1533-position model. Lineage: Bacteria; Pseudomonadati; Pseudomonadota; Gammaproteobacteria; Oceanospirillales; Halomonadaceae. The record is from RNAcentral.
CCUACGGGUGGCAGCAGUGGGGAAUAUUGGACAAUGGGGGCAACCCUGAUCCAGCCAUGCCGCGUGUGUGAAGAAGGCCCUCGGGUUGUAAAGCACUUUCAGUGAGGAAGAACGCCUGGUGGUUAAUACCCAUCAGGAAAGUCAUCACUCACAGAAGAAGCACCGGCUAACUCCGUGCCAGCAGUCGCGGUAAUACGGAGGGUGCGAGCGUUAAUCGGAAUUACUGGGCGUAAAGCGCGCGUAGGUGGCUUGAUAAGCCGGUUGUGAAAGCCCCGGGCUCAACCUGGGAACGGCAUCCGGAACUGUCAAGCUAGAGUGCAGGAGAGGAAGGUAGAAUUCCCGGUGUAGCGGUGAAAUGCGUAGAGAUCGGGAGGAAUACCAGUGGCGAAGGCGGCCUUCUGGACUGACACUGACACUGAGGUGCGAAAGCGUGGGUAGCAAACAGGAUUAGAUACCCUGGUAGUC